GACGAACGCUGGCGGCGUGCUUAACACAUGCAAGUCGAACGGAAAGGCCCUGCUUUUGUGGGGUGCUCGAGUGGCGAACGGGUGAGUAACACGUGAGUAACCUGCCCUUGACUUUGGGAUAACUUCAGGAAACUGGGGCUAAUACCGGAUAGGAGCUCCUGCUGCAUGGUGGGGGUUGGAAAGUUUCGGCGGUUGGGGAUGGACUCGCGGCUUAUCAGCUUGUUGGUGGGGUAGUGGCUUACCAAGGCUUUGACGGGUAGCCGGCCUGAGAGGGUGACCGGCCACAUUGGGACUGAGAUACGGCCCAGACUCCUACGGGAGGCAGCAGUGGGGAAUAUUGCACAAUGGGCGGAAGCCUGAUGCAGCAACGCCGCGUGCGGGAUGACGGCCUUCGGGUUGUAAACCGCUUUCGCCUGUGACGAAGCGUGAGUGACGGUAAUGGGUAAAGAAGCACCGGCUAACUACGUGCCAGCAGCCGCGGUGAUACGUAGGGUGCGAGCGUUGUCCGGAUUUAUUGGGCGUAAAGGGCUCGUAGGUGGUUGAUCGCGUCGGAAGUGUAAUCUUGGGGCUUAACCCUGAGCGUGCUUUCGAUACGGGUUGACUUGAGGAAGGUAGGGGAGAAUGGAAUUCCUGGUGGAGCGGUGGAAUGCGCAGAUAUCAGGAGGAACACCAGUGGCGAAGGCGGUUCUCUGGGCCUUUCCUGACGCUGAGGAGCGAAAGCGUGGGGAGCGAACAGGCUUAGAUACCCUGGUAGUCCACGCUGUAAACGGUGGGUACUAGGUGUGGGGUCCAUUCCACGGGUUCCGUGCCGUAGCUAACGCUUUAAGUACCCCGCCUGGGGAGUACGGCCGCAAGGCUAAAACUCAAAGGAAUUGACGGGGCCCCGCACAAGCGGCGGAGCAUGCGGAUUAAUUCGAUGCAACGCGUAGAACCUUACCUGGGUUUGACAUGGAUCGGGAGUGCUCAGAGAUGGGUGUGCCUCUUUUGGGGUCGGUUCACAGGUGGUGCAUGCCUGUCGUCAGCUCGUGUCGUGAGAUGUUGGGUUAAGUCCCGCAACGAGCGCAACCCUUGUUCACUGUUGCCAGCACGUUAUGGUGGGGACUCAGUGGAGACCGCCGGGGUCAACUCGGAGGAAGGUGGGGAUGACGUCAAGCCAUCAUGCCCCUUAUGUCCAGGGCUUCACGCAUGCUACAAUGGCUGGUACAGAGAGUGGCGAGCCUGUGAGGGUGAGCGAAUCUCGGAAAGCCGGCCUCAGUUCGGAUUGGGGUCUGCAACUCGACCUCAUGAAGUCGGAGUCGCUAGUAAUCGCAGAUCAGCAACGCUGCGGUGAAUACGUUCCCGGGGCU
This 1346-nucleotide ribosomal RNA is filed under the name uncultured bacterium. RNAcentral describes it as "partial 16S ribosomal RNA". It matches the Rfam family "Bacterial small subunit ribosomal RNA", at positions 28 to 1381 of the family's 1533-position model. The record is from RNAcentral.